GCGCCUGUAGCUCAGUUGGAUAGAGCACCAGUCUUCGGAACUGGGUGUCAGGGGUUCGAAUCCUCUCAGGCGCG
This 74-nucleotide transfer RNA is filed under the name Candidatus Omnitrophota bacterium. RNAcentral's name for it is "tRNA-Arg". It matches the Rfam family "tRNA". From Rfam's summary of the family: Transfer RNA (tRNA) molecules are approximately 80 nucleotides in length. Their secondary structure includes four short double-helical elements and three loops (D, anti-codon, and T loops). Further hydrogen bonds mediate the characteristic L-shaped molecular structure. tRNAs have two regions of fundamental functional importance: the anti-codon, which is responsible for specific mRNA codon recognition, and the 3' end, to which the tRNAs corresponding amino acid is attached (by aminoacyl-tRNA synthetases). tRNAs cope with the degeneracy of the genetic code in two manners: having more than one tRNA (with a specific anti-codon) for a particular amino acid; and 'wobble' base-pairing, i.e. permitting non-standard base-pairing at the 3rd anti-codon position. The record is from RNAcentral. Lineage: Bacteria; Pseudomonadati; Candidatus Omnitrophota. RNAcentral also lists the same sequence under 1 other name.